CUUUCAGAAAAGAACGACACUGAAGUCAUUCUUAAAGAAGGAAGAUGUGUUCGGAGGUUUGCCGACCCGACACG
Molecule: long non-coding RNA, 74 nt
Organism: Etheostoma cragini (Arkansas darter)
Lineage: Eukaryota; Metazoa; Chordata; Actinopteri; Perciformes; Percidae
Exons: 3
Source: RefSeq, a predicted model, not a curated record